AUGUCAUCCCAUGAUUCGGAGGGAGAAAGCUAUGUGGCUGAUUACCUUGCAGAUCAUAAGGUCUAUGGGGACUUGGAGCAUUGUGGUUGGACCACGGAGGAAGAAGAAGAAUACUACGAGCCUAAGGGAAAUGAGGAGGCGAGCUCAGAUGAAGAUGAAGUCCCAUUACCUCAACCUGGGGACAUGCAUGUGGAGUUCAAAAAGUCAAGCCUCCCCAAUAGAGCAAAGAAACCUAAGAUCGAGUUUAUCCCUUUUCGUCUCUUGCAGGAGAACAAACAAGAACUAUGCAAAAAGGUACUAAGCCUUGAGCGGGAGAUCGAGGACCUAAAGGAGCAGAAUUCUAUCCUCAAGCACAAACUAAGGAAGAAGCGCACGCUGUAA
Molecule: ribosomal RNA, 381 nt
Filed under: Triticum aestivum (bread wheat)
Lineage: Eukaryota; Viridiplantae; Streptophyta; Magnoliopsida; Poales; Poaceae
Description: partial small subunit ribosomal RNA
Source: RNAcentral